CCUAAGACAUGCAAGCGUACGAGGCGGCCCACUGAUCAGAUGAGAUCUGCGUGCUGCACAAAGGAAGGAUUCUGAUGACGUGGAUUCUCCGCCUAGUGGCAAACGGGUGAGUAACACGUGGGUUACCUGCCUCAUAGACCGGGAUACCGUUUGGAAACGAACGUUAAUACCGGAUGUUAUCUACGGAUUAAAGGGAGCCUUUAAAGCUUCGCUAUGAGAUGGGCCUGCGGUGCAUUAGAUAGUUGGUGGGGUAAUGGCCUACCAAGUCGACGAUGCAUAGCUGAACUGAGAGGUUGAUCGGCCACACUGGGACUGAUACACGGCCCAGACUCCUACGGGAGACAGCAGUUAGGAAUAUUCGUCAAUGGGGGAAACCCUGAACGAGCAAUGCCGCGUGAAUGAUGAAGGCCCUAUGGGUUGUAAAAAUUCUGUUGUUUGGGAAGAACUGUAGAAAUAGGAAAUGAUUUCUGCUUGACGGUACCAUUCAAGAAAGCUCCGGCUAACUACGUGCCAGCCGCCGC
Molecule: ribosomal RNA, 521 nt
Filed under: uncultured bacterium
Lineage: Bacteria
Description: bacterial SSU rRNA
Rfam family: Bacterial small subunit ribosomal RNA
Source: RNAcentral